UGGCUCAGUGGUUAAGAGCACUGGCUGCUUGCUCUUCCAGAGGUCCUGAGUUCAAUUCUCAG
Molecule: non-coding RNA, 62 nt
Organism: Mus musculus (house mouse)
Lineage: Eukaryota; Metazoa; Chordata; Mammalia; Rodentia; Muridae
Source: Rfam